CGAACGCCGGCGGCGUGCCUAAUACAUGCAAGUCGAGCGGACAGAUGGGAGCUUGCUCCCUGAUGUUAGCGGCGGACGGGUGAGUAACACGUGGGUAACCUGCCCGUAAGACUGGGAUAACUCCGGGAAACCGGGGCUAAUACCGGAUGCUUGAUUGAACCGCAUGGUUCAAUUAUAAAAGGUGGCUUUUAGCUACCACUUACAGAUGGACCCGCGGCGCAUUAGCUAGUUGGUGAGGUAACGGCUCACCAAGGCGACGAUGCGUAGCCGACCUGAGAGGGUGAUCGGCCACACUGGGACUGAGACACGGCCCAGACUCCUACGGGAGGCAGCAGUAGGGAAUCUUCCGCAAUGGACGAAAGUCUGACGGAGCAACGCCGCGUGAGUGAUGAAGGUUUUCGGAUCGUAAAACUCUGUUGUUAGGGAAGAACAAGUACCGUUCGAAUAGGGCGGUACCUUGACGGUACCUAACCAGAAAGCCACGGCUAACUACGUGCCAGCAGCCGCGGUAAUACGUAGGUGGCAAGCGUUGUCCGGAAUUAUUGGGCGUAAAGCGCGCGCAGGCGGUUUUUUAAGUCUGAUGUGAAAGCCCCCGGCUCAACCGGGGAGGGUCAUUGGAAACUGGGGAACUUGAGUGCAGAAGAGGAGAGUGGAAUUCCACGUGUAGCGGUGAAAUGCGUAGAGAUGUGGAGGAACACCAGUGGCGAAGGCGACUCUUUGGUCUGUAACUGACGCUGAGGCGCGAAAGCGUGGGGAGCGAACAGGAUUAGAUACCCUGGUAGUCCACGCCGUAAACGAUGAGUGCUAAGUGNUAGAGGGUUUCCGCCCUUUAGUGCUGCAGCCAAACGCNUUAAGCACUCCGCCUGGGGAGUACGGUCGCAAGACUGAAACUCAAAGGAAUUGACGGGGGCCCGCACAAGCGGUGGAGCAUGUGGUUUAAUUCGAAGCAACGCGAAGAACCUUACCAGGUCUUGACAUCCUCUGACAACCCUAGAGAUAGGGCUUCCCCUUCGGGGGCAGAGUGACAGGUGGUGCAUGGUUGUCGUCAGCUCGUGUCGUGAGAUGUUGGGUUAAGUCCCGCAACGAGCGCAACCCUUGAUCUUAGUUGCCAGCAUUCAGUUGGGCACUCUAAGGUGACUGCCGGUGACAAACCGGAGGAAGGUGGGGAUGACGUCAAAUCAUCAUGCCCCUUAUGACCUGGGCUACACACGUGCUACAAUGGGCAGAACAAAGGGCAGCGAAGCCGCGAGGCUAAGCCAAUCCCACAAAUCUGUUCUCAGUUCGGAUCGCAGUCUGCAACUCGACUGCGUGAAGCUGGAAUCGCUAGUAAUCGCGGAUCAGCAUGCCGCGGUGAAUACGUUCCCGGGCCUUGUACACACCGCCCGUCACACCACGAGAGUUUGUAACACCCGAAGUCGGUGAGGUAACCUUUUGGAGCCAGCCGCCGAAGGUGGGACAGAUGAUUGGGGUGAAGUCGUAACAGGGAAAACCGGAAAAGGGUAACCCCCCGGCCCUUUACCGGCCCCUAAAGGCCGUUUAAGGAUGGGAGAGGUGGCCCGUCUCCAAUGGCUUGUGCCGCCCCCUCCCUUCGCCGUUUUGCCGGGCUGCUGGGGGAAAAGGCCUCCCCCCCCUUUUUGGGGGCGGCGGUUCCCCCUUUU
RNAcentral lists this ribosomal RNA (1658 nucleotides) under Bacillus licheniformis. RNAcentral's name for it is "bacterial SSU rRNA". It matches the Rfam family "Bacterial small subunit ribosomal RNA". Lineage: Bacteria; Bacillati; Bacillota; Bacilli; Caryophanales; Bacillaceae. The record is from RNAcentral.